AUUGAACGCUGGCGGCAGGCCUAACACAUGCAAGUCGAGCGGAUGACGGGAGCUUGCUCCUUGAUUCAGCGGCGGACGGGUGAGUAAUGCCUAGGAAUCUGCCUGGUAGUGGGGGACAACGUUUCGAAAGGAACGCUAAUACCGCAUACGUCCUACGGGAGAAAGCAGAGGACCUUCGGGCCUUGCGCUAUCAGAUGAGCCUAGGUCGGAUUAGCUAGUUGGUGGGGUAAUGGCUCACCAAGGCGACGAUCCGUAACUGGUCUGAGAGGAUGAUCAGUCACACUGGAACUGAGACACGGUCCAGACUCCUACGGGAGGCAGCAGUGGGGAAUAUUGGACAAUGGGCGAAAGCCUGAUCCAGCCAUGCCGCGUGUGUGAAGAAGGUCUUCGGAUUGUAAAGCACUUUAAGUUGGGAGGAAGGGCAGUAAGCUAAUACCUUGCUGUUUUGACGUUACCGACAGAAUAAGCACCGGCUAACUCUGUGCCAGCCGCCGCCUAA
RNAcentral lists this ribosomal RNA (499 nucleotides) under uncultured bacterium. RNAcentral describes it as "partial 16S ribosomal RNA". It matches the Rfam family "Bacterial small subunit ribosomal RNA", at positions 30 to 522 of the family's 1533-position model. The record is from RNAcentral.